GCCGGGCGUGGUGGUGCAUGCCUGUAAGCUCAGCAGCUCAGGAGGCUGAGUCAGGAGGAUCGCGAGUUCAAAGCCAGUCUCAGCAACUUAGCGAGGCACUUAGCAACUCAGUGAAACCCUGUCUCUA
This 127-nucleotide small RNA is filed under the name Marmota monax (woodchuck). The record is from RNAcentral. Lineage: Eukaryota; Metazoa; Chordata; Mammalia; Rodentia; Sciuridae.